This 479-nucleotide ribosomal RNA is filed under the name uncultured bacterium. RNAcentral's name for it is "partial 16S ribosomal RNA". It matches the Rfam family "Bacterial small subunit ribosomal RNA", at positions 28 to 507 of the family's 1533-position model. The record is from RNAcentral.
GACGAACGCUGGCGGCGUGCUUAACACAUGCAAGUCGAACGAAGCUUGAUUACGGUUUCUUCGGUUGCAGUAUGAUCUGACUGAGUGGCGGACGGUUGAUUAACUCGUUAGUAACCUGCCCUUCAGAGGGGGAUCGCGUUCUGAAACGAACGGAAAUAUCGAAUAAUGUAUUUCGAUCGCAUGAUCGGAAUUUCCAAGAUCUAUCGCAGAAGGAUGGACUCGCGUCUGAUUAGGUAGUUGGUGGGGUGAAGGCCUACCAAGCCGGCGAUCAGUCGCCGGACAGAGAGGAUGAGCGGCCAAAUUGGGAGUGAGGCACGGCCCAGACACCUACGGGAAGGAGCAGUAGGGAAUAGUGCACAAUCGGCGCAAGCCAGAAGCAGCAACGGCGCGUGAAGCAAGACGGUUAUCGGAUUGUAAACGUCUGUUCAUAGUGAAGAAUAAUGACGGUAGCUAAGGAGCAAGCCACGGCUAACUACGUG